ACGGGUGAGUAACACGUAUCCAACCUGCCGUCUACUCUUGGACAGCCUUCUGAAAGGAAGAUUAAUACAAGAUGGCAUCAUGAGUCCGCAUGUUCACAUGAUUAAAGGUAUUCCGGUAGACGAUGGGGAUGCGUUCCAUUAGAUAGUAGGCGGGGUAACGGCCCACCUAGUCUACGAUGGAUAGGGGUUCUGAGAGGAAGGUCCCCCACAUUGGAACUGAGACACGGCCAA
This 231-nucleotide ribosomal RNA is filed under the name uncultured bacterium. RNAcentral's name for it is "partial 16S ribosomal RNA". It matches the Rfam family "Bacterial small subunit ribosomal RNA", at positions 102 to 334 of the family's 1533-position model. The record is from RNAcentral.